This 268-nucleotide unclassified non-coding RNA is filed under the name Hevea brasiliensis (rubber tree). The record is from RNAcentral. Lineage: Eukaryota; Viridiplantae; Streptophyta; Magnoliopsida; Malpighiales; Euphorbiaceae.
AAGAAAGAAAGAAAGAAAGAAAAAUAGGCAGCACGAGAAAAGAAGGUACUGACCAGAAGAUGUACAAUUAUGUUAGCUGUGUAAUCUUGGAAGAUUCUUAUUGCUGCUUAAUUCCACUUAUGGAUAUUUAUAGUCUUACCCUCUUUUCAGUCAGAUCUGGUUUUCCAGAUUUCCUAGCAUAACCUUGGACAACUGAAAUGUAAAGUCAAUCCCUUUUCAUUUUUGGUUGAUUAGUGAUGAUACACGCCAACACAGAUGGCUUCAGAAG